AAUGGAGGAAACUCUGAUGCGGCGAUGCCGCGUGAGUGAAGAAGGCCCUUGGGUUGUAAAGCUCUUUCGUCGGGGAAGAAAAUGACUGUACCCGAAUAAGAAGGUCCGGCUAACUUCGUGCCAGCAGCCGCGGUAAUACGAAGGGACCUAGCGUAGUUCGGAAUUACUGGGCUUAAAGAGUUCGUAGGUGGUUGAAAAAGUUGGUGGUGAAAUCCCAGAGCUUAACUCUGGAACUGCCAUCAAAACUUUUCAGCUAGAGUAUGAUAGAGGAAAGCAGAAUUUCUAGUGUAGAGGUGAAAUUCGUAGAUAUUAGAAAGAAUACCGAUUGCGAAGGCAGCUUUCUGGAUCAUUACUGACACUGAGGAACGAAAGCAUGGGUAGCGAAGAGGAUU
RNAcentral lists this ribosomal RNA (392 nucleotides) under uncultured Gammaproteobacteria bacterium. RNAcentral describes it as "bacterial SSU rRNA". It matches the Rfam family "Bacterial small subunit ribosomal RNA", at positions 370 to 779 of the family's 1533-position model. The record is from RNAcentral. Lineage: Bacteria; Pseudomonadati; Pseudomonadota; Gammaproteobacteria.